AUGAACGCUGACAGAAUGCUUAACACCUGCCAGUCCACUUGAAUUUGGGUUUUUAACUUAGGUUUGGGUGGCGGACGGGUGAGUAACGCGUAAAGAACUUGCCUCACAGCUAGGGACAACAUUUGGAAACGAAUGCUAAUACCUAAUAUUAUGAUAAUAGGGCAUCCUAUAAUUAUGAAAGCUAUAAGCGCUGUGAGAGAGCUUUGCGUCCCAUUAGCUAGUUGGAGAGGUAACGGCUCACCAAGGCGAUGAUGGGUAGCCGGCCUGAGAGGGUGAUCGGCCACAAGGGGACUGAGACACGGCCCUUACUCCUACGGGAGGCAGCAGUGGGGAAUAUUGGACAAUGGACCAAGAGUCUGAUCCAGCAAUUCUGUGUGCACGAUGAAGUUUUUCGGAAUGUAAAGUGCUUUCAGUUGGGAAGAAAGAAAUGACGGUACCAACAGAAGAAGUGACGGCUAAAUACGUG
RNAcentral lists this ribosomal RNA (466 nucleotides) under uncultured bacterium. RNAcentral describes it as "partial 16S ribosomal RNA". It matches the Rfam family "Bacterial small subunit ribosomal RNA", at positions 29 to 507 of the family's 1533-position model. The record is from RNAcentral.